UGGGGAAUUUUGGACAAUGGGCGAAAGCCUGAUCCAGCAAUGCCGCGUGUGUGAAGAAGGCCUUCGGGUUGUAAAGCACUUUUGUCCGGAAAGAAAUGGCUCUGGUUAAUACCUGGGGUCGAUGACGGUACCGGAAGAAUAAGGACCGGCUAACUACGUGCCAGCAGCCGCGGUAAUACGUAGGGUCCAAGCGUUAACCGGAAUCACUGGGCGUAAAGCGUGCGCAGGCGGUUGUGCAAGACCGAUGUGAAAUCCCCGAGCUUAACUUGGGAAUUGCAUUGGUGACUGCACGGCUAGAGUGUGUCAGAGGGGGGUUAGAAUUCCACGUGUAGCAGUGAAAUGCGUAGAGAUGUGGAGGAAUACCGAUGGCGAAGGCAGCCCCCUGGGAUAACACUGACGCUCAUGCACGAAAGCGUGGGGAGCAAACAGGAUUAGAUACCCUGGUAGUCCACGCCCUAAACGAUGUCAACUAGUUGUU
RNAcentral lists this ribosomal RNA (478 nucleotides) under uncultured bacterium. RNAcentral's name for it is "partial 16S ribosomal RNA". It matches the Rfam family "Bacterial small subunit ribosomal RNA", at positions 355 to 824 of the family's 1533-position model. The record is from RNAcentral.